RNAcentral lists this ribosomal RNA (346 nucleotides) under uncultured Desulfuromonas sp. RNAcentral's name for it is "bacterial SSU rRNA". It matches the Rfam family "Bacterial small subunit ribosomal RNA", at positions 1036 to 1382 of the family's 1533-position model. Lineage: Bacteria; Pseudomonadati; Thermodesulfobacteriota; Desulfuromonadia; Desulfuromonadales; Desulfuromonadaceae. The record is from RNAcentral.
GGGUGCUGCAUGGCUGUCGUCAGCUCGUGUCCGUGAGAUGUUGGGUUAAGUCCCGCAACGAGCGCAACCCUUGUCCUUAGUUGCCAGCAUUCAGUUGGGCACUCUAAGGAGACUGCCGGUGUUAAACCGGAGGAAGGUGGGGAUGACGUCAAGUCCUCAUGGCCCUUAUGUCCAGGGCUACACACGUGCUACAAUGGCCGGUACAAAGGGCUGCAAGACCGUGAGGUUGAGCGAAUCCCAGAAAGCCGGUCUCAGUUCGGAUUGGAGUCUGCAACUCGACUCCAUGAAGUUGGAAUCGCUAGUAAUCGCGGAUCAGCAUGCCGCGGUGAAUACGUUCCCGGGCCUU